AGACAUGUAUUAACAUAGUACCUCAUGGUUUACCUCAGAGCAGUCCAAGCAAUAAUUUACUUUUAACCUACAGUGCCUACCUUGUGAGAAAUAAUUGGAGGAGAUAGUCUUUUGAGGAGCUAUGUGACUGUAGAAGAGCAAUUUCAUGAACUAGCCCUUCAGUUAUGGCUGAGAAAUCUUGUAUGCAGUCCCCAGUGACAGCCCAGAAUAAAACUGAGAGGGGGGAAGAGAUGAAAUCAUUAGAAGGACAUCAGUCUGUUG
Molecule: long non-coding RNA, 261 nt
Organism: Mobula hypostoma (lesser devil ray)
Lineage: Eukaryota; Metazoa; Chordata; Chondrichthyes; Myliobatiformes; Myliobatidae
Exons: 3
Source: RefSeq, a predicted model, not a curated record